Molecule: ribosomal RNA, 287 nt
Filed under: uncultured Hyphomicrobiales bacterium
Lineage: Bacteria; Pseudomonadati; Pseudomonadota; Alphaproteobacteria; Hyphomicrobiales
Description: uncultured Rhizobiales bacterium partial 16S ribosomal RNA
Rfam family: Bacterial small subunit ribosomal RNA
Source: RNAcentral
AUACGAAGGGGGCUAGCGUUGCUCGGAAUCACUGGGCGUAAAGGGCGCGUAGGCGGCCAUUCAAGUCGGGGGUGAAAGCCUGUGGCUCAACCACAGAAUUGCCUUCGAUACUGUUUGGCUUGAGUUUGGUAGAGGUUGGUGGAACUGCGAGUGUAGAGGUGAAAUUCGUAGAUAUUCGCAAGAACACCAGUGGCGAAGGCGGCCAACUGGACCAACACUGACGCUGAGGCGCGAAAGCGUGGGGAGCAAACAGGAUUAGAUACCCUGGUAGUCAAGGGCGAAUUCGC